Molecule: ribosomal RNA, 463 nt
Filed under: Vreelandella stevensii
Lineage: Bacteria; Pseudomonadati; Pseudomonadota; Gammaproteobacteria; Oceanospirillales; Halomonadaceae
Description: partial 16S ribosomal RNA
Rfam family: Bacterial small subunit ribosomal RNA
Source: RNAcentral
CCUACGGGUGGCUGCAGUGGGGAAUAUUGGACAAUGGGCGAAAGCCUGAUCCAGCCAUGCCGCGUGUGUGAAGAAGGCCUUCGGGUUGUAAAGCACUUUCAGUGGGGAAGAAAGCCUUGGGGCUAAUACCCUCGAGGAAGGACAUCACCCACAGAAGAAGCACCGGCUAACUCCGUGCCAGCAGCCGCGGUAAUACGGAGGGUGCGAGCGUUAAUCGGAAUUACUGGGCGUAAAGCGCGCGUAGGCGGUCUGAUAAGCCGGUUGUGAAAGCCCCGGGCUCAACCUGGGAACGGCAUCCGGAACUGUCAGGCUAGAGUGCAGGAGAGGAAGGUAGAAUUCCCGGUGUAGCGGUGAAAUGCGUAGAGAUCGGGAGGAAUACCAGUGGCGAAGGCGGCCUUCUGGACUGACACUGACGCUGAGGUGCGAAAGCGUGGGUAGCAAACAGGAUUAGAUACCCGAUAGU